GCUAUCAUACAUUGGCCUAGUAGUUAGAGCAUCCGCCUCCGAUGCGGGAGGUCGCGGAUUCGAACCCAGUCUGAGCCA
This is a non-coding RNA of Potamilus streckersoni, 78 nucleotides long. The record is from the annotation of a GenBank genome assembly. Lineage: Eukaryota; Metazoa; Mollusca; Bivalvia; Unionida; Unionidae.